This 486-nucleotide ribosomal RNA is filed under the name uncultured bacterium. RNAcentral's name for it is "bacterial SSU rRNA". It matches the Rfam family "Bacterial small subunit ribosomal RNA", at positions 28 to 516 of the family's 1533-position model. The record is from RNAcentral.
GAUGAACGCUAGCGGCAGGCUUAACACAUGCAAGUCGAGGGGUAUUGGUUUUCGGACCAAGAGACCGGCGCACGGGUGCGUAACGCGUAUGCAAUCUACCUUUUGCAGAGGGAUAGCCCAGAGAAAUUUGGAUUAAUACCUCAUAGUAUAGUACUUUGGCAUCAAGGAACUAUUAAAGUCACAACGGCAAAGAUGAGCAUGCGUCCCAUUAGCUAGUUGGUAAGGUAACGGCUUACCAAGGCAACGAUGGGUAGGGGUCCUGAGAGGGAGAUCCCCCACACUGGUACUGAGACACGGACCAGACUCCUACAGGAGGCAGCAGUGAGGAAUAUUGGACAAUGGGCGCAAGCCUGAUCCAGCCAUGCCGCGUGCAGGAUGACGGUCCUAUGGAUUGUAAACUGCUUUUAUACAGGAAGAAACACUACUUCGUGAAGUAGCUUGACGGUACUGUAAGAAUAAGGAUCGGCUAACUCCGUGCCAGCAGCC